UUCCGGUUGAUCCUGCCGGAGGCCACUGCUAUUGGGAUCCGACUAAGCCAUGCGAGUCGAGAGGGUUCGGCCCUCGGCAGACUGCUCAGUAACACGUGGAUAAUCUACCCUUAGGUGGAGGAUACUCUCGGGAAACUGAGAAUAAUACUCCAUAGGUCUAGGAUGCUGGAAUGCACCUAGGUUGAAAGUUCCGGCGCCUAAGGACGAGUCUGCGGACUAUCAGGUAGUAGUCAGGGUAAAGACCUGACUAGCCUACGACGGAUACGGGUUGUGAGAGCAAUAGCCCGGAGACGAUAUCUGAGACACGAUAUCGGGCCCUACGGGGCGCAGCAGGCGCGAAAUCUUCACAAUGUGCGAAAGCACGAUGAGGGGAUCCCAAGUGUUGGCUCGUAAGAGUCAUCUGUUUCUUUGUCUAAAAAACAGAGAGAGUAGGAGCUGGGUAAGACGGGUGCCAGCCGCCGCGGUAAUACCUGCAGCUCAAGUGGUGGCCGCUAUUAUUGGGCCUAAAACGUCCGUAGCCGGUUUAGUAAAUGCCUGGGUAAAUUGUGUAGCUCAACUAUACGAAUACCGGGUAGACUGCUAAACUUGGAACCGGGAGAGGCUAGAGGUACUCCUAGGGUAGAGGUGAAAUUCUGUAAUCCUAGGGGGACCACCAGUGGCGAAGGCGUCUAGCUAGAACGGGUUUGACGGUGAGGGACGAAGCCCUGGGGCGCAAACCGGAUUAGAUACCCGGGUAGUCCAGGGUGUAAACGCUGCUCGCUUGAUGUUAGUCGGGCUCCGAGCCCAACUAGUGUCGGAGAGAAGUUGUUAAGCGAGCUGCCUGGGAAGUACGGUCGCAAGGCUGAACUUAAAGGAAUUGGCGGGGAGCACACAAGGGGUGAAGCUUGCGUUUAAUUGAGUCAACGCCGG
Molecule: ribosomal RNA, 909 nt
Filed under: uncultured archaeon
Lineage: Archaea
Description: bacterial SSU rRNA
Rfam family: Archaeal small subunit ribosomal RNA
Source: RNAcentral